GUUAAGAGUUUACGCGUCAGGAUUCACAUGGCAAAUAAAAACACGGGAAAAGCGCUGGUCUGCAUCCGGCGAGGGGGUAUAAUGGCGCUUCUGUUACAGUGAGAGUCGUAAACAUGAAGCGUAGUAGAACGGAAGUGGGGCGCUGGCGAAUGCUACGUCAGGCGAGCCGCCGUAAAGCGCGUUGGCUUGAAGGGCAAUCACGCCGUAAUAUGCGUAUCCAUACCAUCAGGAAAUGCAUCUUUAAUCGUCAGCGUAAUUCAUUACUCUUUGCGAUUCACGGUGUGUGAGCCAGAAAGGGCACCGUAUGCGGUGCCCAACAGGCCA
This 324-nucleotide small RNA is filed under the name Salmonella enterica subsp. enterica serovar Typhimurium str. SL1344. RNAcentral describes it as "STnc1270". The record is from RNAcentral. RNAcentral also lists the same sequence under 1 other name. Lineage: Bacteria; Pseudomonadati; Pseudomonadota; Gammaproteobacteria; Enterobacterales; Enterobacteriaceae.